Lemur catta (Ring-tailed lemur) is the source of this 1537-nucleotide long non-coding RNA. RefSeq lists it as uncharacterized. The transcript is spliced from 5 exons. The record is from RefSeq and is a predicted model, not a curated record. Lineage: Eukaryota; Metazoa; Chordata; Mammalia; Primates; Lemuridae.
CUUCCCUAGGGUGCAGCGUGGGCCCCUGCACUUUCCUGGAGGUGGUGGUGGGGCUCAGUUCUCAUGGACACCCUUCCUGCCACCUGCCGUAGUUGAGCUCCCAGAAAGGAGAGUAGGACAGAUCCUGGGGGAGAAGGAGAGAAGAAAGCAGGGUUCCCAAGCAACAAAGUGGAGAGGACCAUGGCAGCUCCACGUAAGCCCAGGGGAAUUUACUUUCAUAGGGAAAAUUUCCUCUCUGCAGCUCCAGCGUGGCACAUAGUCACCCUUCUUAAGCCCAUUAAAUCCUUUCUGAGGCAGAUCCUGCCUGGAAUGCUAUGUUUCUUUCACUGAAAAAUUGUUGGAAGUACUGAUAGAGUCUAAAUUCAUAAAUAAUUUUCUUUCUUGCUUUCUCCUUCCAGAGUGGAAGGCCUUAGAAGAGCUCUUUGGGUAUAAAUGUUCAUGAAGACUUUCAGGCUAUUUCCUAACCAGGAUGAUAAUAAGACACAUUCUUUCUUGGAGUCCUGACCAGCGGCCUACUCAAAUUUGAAGGAAAAUCAUCUGAAACAUGUGCACGUCAUGGCAAAGAGAAACCUGGAAAGCAGGAACACCAGAGAGGAGCUGGGGUGAUGGUGGACACCUAGCAAGGAGCCAGACUGCAAGGAGAGAAGACAGCGUGAAAGGCCAGACCUAUUUUGGGACCAACCCCUGAGUCACAGAGUAACAGAGAGCAGAGGUUUUGACUCAAUUCUUGCAGUCCAUUCUGUGAUGAGAAAAGAGAUUUUACCAGGGCUGAGAAGAGGCUUAGCCCUCACAUAGAGGAAGCACAGUCCUUCCAUGGUGGAAGCAUCGAGGGCCAGAGACUGAAGCAGAAGGCAAGGCCUAUACUCCAGUAAAGAAGUUAUCAGUAACUUUGAUAAUUGCCAGAGUGAUGGCAAUGUGAAUCCCAUGGGAAGGACAAGAAAAUGGCAGUAGGUCAGGAUUCCUAUUUACCUUGGCAUCUUUUGCUUGUUGUGACAACCAGGAAGAGAACCCACUGCAUUAAAAGUUCUGCAGAACCUCUUUUAGCUGCAGGAUUUACCACAUUUAUGAGGGUCCUGGUGUCCCCAUUGCUAUCAAUGAGCCAAGUUCUGUUUUGGCCUCUCCUAGUAUCAUUCCUGGCCUGCAGAGGGGCAGUGCCGCUCUCACCAGCACAGUCUUGAUUGCUUCUGGCCUUCCUAUGGAGCACAGUCAACCUGUGGAUUUUUCAGGCUUACAUGGUAUGCCCACCCUUGUAUGCCCACAUCUGAUUCAUUCUUUCCCAACAAGGGCUCUGAACUUACACAGGUGACCUGUAUGAGCUGAAAGCUUAAUCUUUGAAGUUCAGCUACUCUUAUGGUUAAAUCAUGGGCCUGGUCUCCAGCACUACUUCUUCACUCCUUUCUCAGGGUGCAAGAUCUGAGAGCCAUUUGAUGAGAUACCAUGAAUAUUCUUUGGUUUGAAUUUAUUAAAUAAUUGUUAAUUGCCAAUUAAUUUCUAUUAGCCUUUUGAUAUCUCUUCCAAAGAAUAAAUAAAUCUUAGC